UCACAGCAAACUUGGAAGAAAAGAUGAAUGCUUUGUUCAAGAUUAGUUUUUUCAUCAUAUUGGUGCUCACUACUGGUUAUUUUCUCUCCCUUUCUUUCAUAAACAUAUUAAAAUACAGAAUAAUCUAUGAGUUUUUAUGUUAUUGCAGCCUCAGGAGUUGAAUUUGCAAAACUAGAGAAAAAUAUGGUCAUUAAUGGUAGAAAGCAACUUCAAAGCCCAAUUUCCAAAGCACUUAUUAAAAUAAGACAUUGUGAAAUAGAUGAAGAAUGUGAUGAUUUUUGUUCCGGUAGAACGGCUGCGAUUUGCUACGAGUACUAUUGUCAAUGUAUUUAAUAAUCGAAGAAUCUAAAAGUCGAUAAAAGCAAUCAUAAUAAAGGGUUGCUUGUCAAAAUGAUGUCAAAAUCAUUUUCAGUAUGUUUUGAUAUGCAGCUUCAAG
RNAcentral lists this long non-coding RNA (436 nucleotides) under Lactuca sativa (garden lettuce). Its description in RNAcentral is "long non-coding RNA (LSAT_LNC001314)". The record is from RNAcentral. Lineage: Eukaryota; Viridiplantae; Streptophyta; Magnoliopsida; Asterales; Asteraceae.